GCUGAGGUGGUGGAAUUGGUAUACACGGAGGACUUAAAAUCCUCUGCCUCACGGAUUAAGGGUUCAAGUCCCUUCCUCAGCACCA
Molecule: transfer RNA, 85 nt
Filed under: candidate division SR1 bacterium
Lineage: Bacteria; Candidatus Absconditibacteriota
Description: tRNA-Leu
Rfam family: tRNA
About the family: Transfer RNA (tRNA) molecules are approximately 80 nucleotides in length. Their secondary structure includes four short double-helical elements and three loops (D, anti-codon, and T loops).
Source: RNAcentral